GACGAAGGGGGCUAGCGUUGUUCGGAAUUACUGGGCGUAAAGCGCGUGUAGGCGGUUGCCCAAGUCGGGUGUGAAAGCCUUGAGCUCAACUCAAGAAAUGCACUCGGUACUGGGUGACUAGAGGACCGGAGAGGAUAGUGGAAUUCCCAGUGUAGUGGUGAAAUGCGUAGAUAUCGGGAGGAACACCAGUGGCGAAGGCGGCUUCCUGGCCUGUUCUUGACGCUGAGGCGCGAAAGCUAGGGGAGCAAACGGG
RNAcentral lists this ribosomal RNA (253 nucleotides) under uncultured bacterium. Its description in RNAcentral is "partial 16S ribosomal RNA". It matches the Rfam family "Bacterial small subunit ribosomal RNA", at positions 524 to 776 of the family's 1533-position model. The record is from RNAcentral.